CAAGUCGAGCGAGAAAUCCAGCGCUUGCGCUGGAAAGAAAGCGGCGAACGGGUGAGUAAUACGUUGGAAUUUGCCCCUAGGUCAGGGAUAGCCCACUGAAAAGUGGAUUAAUACCGGAUAGUCUCUUCGGAGUAAAAAUUUAUUGCCUAGGGAGGAGCCUUCGUUCUAUCAGCUUGUUGGUGAGGUAAUGGCUCACCAAGGCUAUGACGGAUAACUGGUCUGAGAGGAUGAUCAGUCACAAUGGAACUGAGACACGGUCCAUACUCC
This 267-nucleotide ribosomal RNA is filed under the name uncultured bacterium. RNAcentral's name for it is "partial 16S ribosomal RNA". It matches the Rfam family "Bacterial small subunit ribosomal RNA", at positions 58 to 339 of the family's 1533-position model. The record is from RNAcentral.